This 1885-nucleotide long non-coding RNA is filed under the name Rattus norvegicus (Norway rat). RNAcentral describes it as "long non-coding RNA NONRATT026473". Lineage: Eukaryota; Metazoa; Chordata; Mammalia; Rodentia; Muridae. The record is from RNAcentral.
CACAUUGCCAAGCCCUCCCUCCCCCCAGGCCCUAUACCAGCCAGAGAGGCUGGAGGGUACAGUGGAGGGCUGUAAGGAGAUGGGGAAGAUGCCCACCUCGGGCAAUGGGUGCCACAUGGCUCGCUGAGAUGAGCCUUGUUUCUUAGGUGCGUCUUCUUGGGGGUUCUGUGCUCUGGGACUUCCUUGGUGUCACAGAGGCGGCUGCUGGAGUAGGCAGGGGUUGCUCUGGGCUAGCCUGUGCUCACAGACCUCUUAGACUUGAGGGUUACUGCUCCCCACAGGGUGAAUUUCACCAUAGGAGUGAAUGGGAUUGCUCUGGAGGAGAGAGGGCAGGCAUGAGAGGGGAGAGCAGCGGGUCCCAUACAUCUGCCCAGGACUUGCUGCCCUGGGUGCUGAAUGGUACUGGGACUGGAUGGAGCUGGAUGGCCCUGGAUGGCAGGGGCUCGAUGUUUCUGGCUCUGGGUGGAGGCUGCAUGCCCCUUGCUCUAAGUACCCUGCCCCUGUGUGGAAUCUGCCCCGUGGGGCCUGCUCCCUACUGGUCCCGGUCUCACAGCCCCUCCUUUCUCCAGAAGGAUGCACCUCAGACCCCGUGGGCUGCACCCCAGGGACCUGUGCCUCCGAAGGAUGUGGAUGCCUCUCUCUCGGAGCAGCCUCGGGGUGAAGAGCUGGCCCAGAGCCCCCUGGCCACUGAGGAGGCAGGAGCCACAGACCCUGCCAAGGAUCCUGACAGCCCUGUGGCCGGUCCCCUCAGCCCCUCAAAUGGGGACCAAGUCCAGCCUAUACCUGUGGUGACCCCAGGGACCUCGGCCUAGGAAGAGGCAAUGUGAGAGCUGGGCCCUCGCAGCCUUCCAUGCCACACAGAUGCCGGCCACCUGGGACCUGCAGGGGACAGGGACAGCUGCCACCCACCAGAGUGACAGACCUGCGCUAUGUCCCUCCAACAUGGUGCUCAGCCCUCUGAGGCCUCAAGUCCGUACUCCCUCCAGCUGCACCCCAGCGACCAGCUCUGCUUCGCACCGGGCCGUGAGCUUCGCCUGCUGCCCACUCCAUGCAAGGCCAUGGCUGCCGUUGGUGCUUUGCUGAUGCUCGCCCUGCGGGUGACCCAUGACCGCUCCUCCCUCCAUAGGAUGGGGCUCUCUGGGGCCAGAGCAACAACCCCAUGGAGCAGGCUCCUGUGCUGGGAGCAGCCUUGAGGGGCCUAGAUAGGGGCACCCUGCCCAAGGGCCUGGGCUUAUGCAAGGGGACCAGACCCCUUCAGGAGAGUCCGAGCCGAGAUGGAGUUGAGGUUGCUGGUCACUGCUGCAAGCCAGCAAACAGCGCCAGCUCCAGGUUCUGCAGCCGAGUAGGAGUUGGCCAGGUGUAGAUGGCCACGUCCCCAGCAAAUCGAUCAGCCCAGGUGUGUGAGUCUUCCAUGCAGGGGCCACUGCCCUCUGCCCCAGCAGUGGCUUCUGGACUGGCGUCUGUCCUCUACCUCACCAACCAGGCUCUGGACUCCAGGACAGACCUGCCUGCAGGAGCCCUCCACACAUGCUGCAUGUCACUGAGGCUGAAGCCAAGGUCCCCACAGGCUGUGACCGAUCGGGAGCCAUGGCCACCCACACUUGCAUGGAAAAGGGUGUCUGUUACAGGCUGACAGGCAGUGACAGCUGGGUGGUCCCCCUAGAGCUCUGGGGGGUGGUAGGGGAGGACUCCCUAGGCACCCAGUCUAACCAGAACUGAGGGGCAGAGGAGUGCAGGCCCAGCCACCUGCUUCUGCCAUUGGACUGAGCCAUUUUGUACUGGGUGUCCAAGCAGUCCUGCUCCUCUGAGUGGUGGAGGUGCUCUGCGGGGUGCCCGAGGGCCCUGGCUUUUGGUUGUCAGGGGAUUAAAUACCUUUUCAUACUCA